This 492-nucleotide ribosomal RNA is filed under the name uncultured bacterium. RNAcentral's name for it is "partial 16S ribosomal RNA". It matches the Rfam family "Bacterial small subunit ribosomal RNA", at positions 29 to 507 of the family's 1533-position model. The record is from RNAcentral.
AUUGAACGCUGGCGGCAUGCUUUACACAUGCAAGUCGAACGGUAACAGGCCUUCGGGUGCUGACGAGUGGCGCACGGGUGAGUAAUGCAUCGGAACGUACCCAGAGGUGGGGGAUAACGCAGCGAAAGCUGUGCUAAUACCGCAUGUGAUCUGAGGAUGAAAGCGGGGGACCGAGCAGCAAUGUUUGGCCUCGCGCCUUUGGAGCGGCCGAUGUCGGAUUAGCUAGUUGGUGGGGUAAAGGCCUACCAAGGCGACGAUCCGUAGCUGGUCUGAGAGGACGACCAGCCACACUGGGACUGAGACACGGCCCAGACUCCUACGGGAGGCAGCAGUGGGGAAUUUUGGGCAAUGGGCGCAAGCCUGACCCAGCAAUGCCGCGUGCGGGAAGAAGGCCUUCGGGUUGUAAACCGCUUUUGGCAGGAACGAAACGGUGUCCGCUAAUACCGGGCGCUAAUGACGGUACCUGCGGAAUAAGCACCGGCUAACUACGUG